Molecule: unclassified non-coding RNA, 168 nt
Organism: Cercocebus atys (sooty mangabey)
Lineage: Eukaryota; Metazoa; Chordata; Mammalia; Primates; Cercopithecidae
Rfam family: Y RNA
About the family: Y RNAs are components of the Ro ribonucleoprotein particle (Ro RNP), in association with Ro60 and La proteins. The Y RNAs and Ro60 and La proteins are well conserved, but the function of the Ro RNP is not known.
Source: Ensembl
GGCUGGUCCGAGUGCAGUGGUGUUUACAAUUAAUUGAUCACAUCAGUUACAGUUACAAAUAUUCUUUUCCCCCAUGACACAGGCCCAGGAGAUCCUGAGAACAUGUGUCCCUUGUUACAGAUUUCUUUGUCCUUCUCUACUCCCACUGCUUCACGUUUCUAGCAUAAA